Molecule: ribosomal RNA, 497 nt
Filed under: uncultured bacterium
Lineage: Bacteria
Description: partial 16S ribosomal RNA
Rfam family: Bacterial small subunit ribosomal RNA
Source: RNAcentral
GAUGAACGCUGGCGGCGUGCCUAAUACAUGCAAGUCGAGCGAACGGACGAGAAUCUUGCUUCUCUGAUGUUAGCGGCGGACGGGUGAGUAACACGUGGAUAACCUACCUAUAAGACUUGGAUAACUUCGGGAAACCGGAGCUAAUACCGGAUAAUAUUUUGAACCUCAUGGUUCAAAAGUGAAAGACGGUCUUGCUGUGACUGAGAGAUGGAUCCGCGCUGCAUUAGCUAGUUGGUAAGGUAACGGCUUACCAAGGCAACGAUGCAUAGCCGACCUGAGAGGGUGAUCCGCCACACUGGAACUGAGACACGGUCCAGACUCCUACGGGAGGCAGCAGUAGGGACUCUUCCGCAAUGGGCGAAAGCCUGACGGAGCAACGCCGCGUGAGUGCUGAAGGUCUUCGGAUCGUAAAACUCUGUUAUUAGGGAAGACCAUAUGUGUAAGUAACUGUGCACAUCUUGACGGUACCUAAUCAGAAAGCCACGGCUAACUACGUG